This is a long non-coding RNA of Bombus huntii, 1435 nucleotides long. RefSeq lists it as uncharacterized. The transcript has 3 exons. Lineage: Eukaryota; Metazoa; Arthropoda; Insecta; Hymenoptera; Apidae. The record is from RefSeq and is a predicted model, not a curated record.
AUCUGCCAAGACCACUCACCUCACCUUCUUGUGGGGCUCCCCGUCACCCUGCGCCGGCCUUUGCUGGGGCAGGGUGCGAAAGAGUGAGUGGCACCAGGAUGGAAACCCUUGUUGACGACCUCGGCGACUUCAGAAUCACAAUGGACAGAGAAACGAACCAAAAAAUCGUUUACAGUGCAGGGGAGGGAUACCACAGUACCGGCGCAGCCGCGGGUUGUAAAACGGGCCCCGAGUCGUCAUCGAGCAACCGUGACCGUCCGGGGGUGGGCCGCCAGGCCCCCGAACACGCUCAUGCGUCUGGCGAAGGGGACACACGAACUGGGGGGUCUCGGAGAGGGUUGGAGGAACUCGACGUUAUGACCGUCGGCCCGGGACCCUCACGGGAUGGGAUGCGGCGACGCCGCAAUCGCGGCGGGGCGGUGAGAUCCGACGACGAAAUGUCGUCAUGCUCUUCCUAUUCGACCGCUGCCGGGACGGUCAGCGUGGAGGUUUUAGUAGGUUGGAGUCCGGCAUUACCACGCCGCUUUUCCCCAGAAGCGACCUGGUGUCCGUGCGGAUUUCCUCCACGUUAAUAAUAAUAUUUAUAAAAAAAAGUUAUUUUUCACGUAGUUGACUCAUUGCUGAUCGAUCAAGAUGGAAUCUUAGGAUCCGAAUUUUUCGCAGGAUACAAGGCUCGUUUGGAUUACGAGCGAAAACAUAUAAGUGGGGAAAUAUUUAUAUCCCCUUCGAUACAAGAGAAAAGAUAAUCGUGCGGAAACGAAGUUCGGUACCAUUACAAAUGUUCGAUUAACAUUACAAAUCUGGAGAUAAAAGAGGGAUUUAUUCCCAAAAUCGAGCCAAUCAAGGGAGUCUAUUUUGGUAAUGUAGGUGCGAAGAACCAUAAGGGACAAGGAUAUACAAGAAUAAUAAAUACCACAUCGAAAGAUUACGAAUUUAUCACACCUACAAUAGUAAUUAAAGAAUUUGAGAACCUCGCCUCGCCGCCUGAAGUUCCGUCUUCUUGAUUAUCUCACCUUUUUUUGGACACACGGAGUCUGCUGAAGUUUCGUCUUCUUGAUUAUCUUGUUUACGCUAUUUUUAAUUUUCCACAUCCUUGAGACACGUAGAUGCUGCUGAAGUUUCGUCUUCUUAAUUUCUCAUGUUUCGUUUGGUGUUAGUGACAUACGAGGUUAUGUUGGAUCAUGGAUACUGAUAUGUCUGAAGCUGUAGAAUGUGAGAAGAAGAAAAAAAGUCGUAGGCCGUUCAAACCUCCUCCGAAACGUUCUAGGAAACGUGGUCGUCGUGGCGGCGCAAAAGCUCGUGGGCAGAGGUUAAGGAGGCUGGAGGGAUCGUCUUCCACAGAGGGUAGCAAUAGUGUGGCUCCAGCCCCAUCGUCGAGUCUCGGUGAUCCUUUUGGUUAUUGAUCUAACCUUCUCCGAUGAGGACAUCCUUCAGU